Molecule: RNA transcript, 2834 nt
Organism: Talpa occidentalis (Iberian mole)
Lineage: Eukaryota; Metazoa; Chordata; Mammalia; Eulipotyphla; Talpidae
Exons: 10
Source: RefSeq, a predicted model, not a curated record
AGUUAAGCAGCCACUCUUGAUAUAAAACACCACACUGGUGCACCUGGGAGUCUUGGGUUUUUGCCUACCGGCAGGGAGUGCCAGGGUCAUGGGGCAGCAUUGCAGAAGAUGACUAUGGUGAAGAUGAUUGAGAAUAUUCUCCAUUAUUGGGUGCGGACAUAAAGGGGAACUGUAAUUACAUCACAGAAGAGAAAUCACCUGUCUAGUUCCAUCUAGUUAUUAUAUGGAUUGGGUUUCAAACCCAGGAUUUUCAACUCCAUCCCCGCUCCCUAAAUUCAGCUCAGACUUUUCCCUGUAAUCUUAACAAUCUGCAAAACAGUCACCUUAAAGGUGAUAAUUCUGUUCACCAGGGAGUGCUAGCACGCUACCUGCUUCCUGGGUACUGCAGAUCCUUGGACAAUUCCAUAUUUUCAGUGCAAACCAGGAGGAAAAGCUCAAUUAUAGGAGAUAAACACUGGAUCCAUCAUAUCAAAGACUUUGUCCUGAUCGGGCAAGAUAAACAGGACGUGGCUAACACACUGGAGACCUCGCAAGACACUUUCAGAUGAUGGGAAAUAAACUCUGUUUGUAAGGCACUGUACUCUGUGGAUAACUCAAAAUCUGGCUGCCUGUCUUCACUGGGGUACAUUCUGGGAUAUAGUGUGAUAUGAAAGACCACACACAGCUUUUUUAAGUGCUGGCAGCUCUUCUUACUGCACUACUCUGGUGAGCUUUCUGGGAACCCAGAAGCUGUUGGGUGAGUUCUGUGGAACUCUGAAAAUGCUGAAGGAAGCCAGGAAGCAGUUCUCCUUUUACUAUAUCUGGGCAGAUCAUCAGGCUUCCGAGACCCGUCCCCAGAUCGAGGUACCCGCGUACAUGUGCAUGCACGUGGAGAGGAGCAGGGACAGAACAAGGGGGCGACGCCGGUGGCGUAGUCUGCCCCCAACACUAGGAGGAAGUUACGAAGACCAGCUUUGGACCCAGACCCCACGCUGGAGAAGCUCAUAAAGGUGGCCAAUUCUGUCUAUCACAGUAGCGAUCAGGAGGCGGCUCCCCAGCAAGAGAUGAGAAAGUAAGGUUACUGCCCUAGGGGCCACUUUGCGGGCUUUCCACUUCUGCUCCCCAGAAAAGAACCCCCAACAGCUGCCUAUUUUGGUUGUGGCAAACAAGAUCACUUUAAAAGGAUUGUCUUCAUAAUAAACUGGGCCCAGACUACAAGGGCAGCCACUGGAAACCAGGGUACCCCUGAGAUGAAGGCCUCAGGGAUCAGUUCAGGCCUCCCAGUUGGUCCAGAGGGAUUGAGGGCUUGCCUCAUUCCUGUUGGAACAGCCACAAUUGCCAUUUAGGAACCUUGGGUUCUUUCGGGGGUUGAGGGGAUUGGAUAUCAAUUAUUAUUAGACACUGGGGCCACCUACUCUGUUCUUAUCUCCCACUGUGGUCUGUUCUCUGAAACUGCCACUGCGCAGUACAGGGUGUGUCUGGGAUCUCUACUCCAUCAUUUUACUGAGCCCCUAAGCAGCUCCUGGGACUCCCACCUCCUCUCCCGAUCCUUUGUGGUCAUGCCUGACUACCCCACCCCACUCCUGGGCAGGAUGUCCUGGUCCAGACCUCACCCAGUCAUCCUUGCCACCCUUGCCACUGUAAAGUGGGAAGGCCAAGAGUCCAGGAUUCAUCACUUGGGUGUAAAGGCCUGGAAACUUGUGCCUGCUUCACAGCCAGCUACAGCCCCUCCUUCUCAGUACAGCUGUGAGACUCUUGAGGAUUUGAGAUUCCUGUUCUGUAGACAUCUGGCGAGGCCAGUCCAGACCCGCCCCAUGUGUUUCUUCUCGUUAUAGCCACUCUUUUUGUGUCACACUGUUUGAAUGCACCUCUCCCACUGCCCCAUAAUUUUGCAGAGCAAGGCGGGGUCUUUGUUGUUGUUAAUAAAUCUUAUUGUGCCUUCAACUCCAGCUCACCAGUGAAAGAGGACAUCCUCACCCUGUAUGACAAGGCUUCAUGGCUCCACAACCUUAAGGAAACAUCUGCCACCCAACUCUGGGACCAGAUGAAGGGGUGCAUUCCCUUCACUGCUUGGUUCCUCCCGCUCUUGGGACCAUUACUAGCUAUCCUGCCGCUUCUCAUUUUUGGUCCAUGUCGCUUAAAUCUUAUCUUCAAAUUUGUUUCUUCCAGGCUGCAAACUUGGUCAAGCUCCAGGUGGUGGUCCAGAUGGACCCACCUUUGACCGUCCCCACUGAUUUCUACCAGGGCACCUUGGAUAGACCCCCUUCUGGGUGUUAUCCCUGACUGCACAUCCUUCGCCCCCUCUCAGCAGGAAGUAGCCAGAUCGGUCAUCGCCCACUUCCCCUAAUGGCAGUUGGGGUUACAACUCUGAAGCGGGGGAUGAAGGGAAGAAGGUAGGAAAUGGAUAUAGGCAGGCAGUUAGGAACAGGGUGCCCCAAGUCAUUUAUUAGCCUCACUGGGAAGCAGGCACAGACCAAGAAGGUAGUCCCCCUUCAACUCAAUUAAAAAAUGGCAUAUUCAAAAUUCCUACUCAGUAGCACAAUAAUAACACAGGGCUCAAGCAACAGACCAAGGCUAGUACGUUUGAGAAGGGUAGGCAAGGUAAUGUGGGCAAAAUAGGAGAAGCUCACAAACUCAGUGGCCCCUUGGUAGCCUAAGAGACCCUUGCCAAUCAGAAAGAGGCACAGCACAGGCCAAACCCUCACACUUUGCUCACCAUAAGCACCUGCUUCAUACCCCCUCAGUGGCUACCCAUUCGGGACCCCUUUGUUCAGAGUGCUUUCAUGUUCUUCCUAGUUCUCAAUAAAUCUCUUGGUUUUCUGUAACUUUGGUUUCGAUAUUGAAUUCUUUCCUUG